Arachis ipaensis is the source of this 318-nucleotide non-coding RNA. The record is from RefSeq and is a predicted model, not a curated record. Lineage: Eukaryota; Viridiplantae; Streptophyta; Magnoliopsida; Fabales; Fabaceae.
UAGAGCAAAGUGAUUAUGCAACUUUGGUUGAAACCAACAAUUCGAAAGAGUAUUCAUCAAACACAUGAAGCAUUAUUUCUGCGAAGGAGGAAUCAUAUUCUUUCUACUUAUGUUAAUAUAAUGGGGGGUUGGGGAUAUUGUUACGAGCAAAGUCUACUCAGUAUAUAAAAUGAGAUUUUGUUGUCACUGCAUACUAUUAAAACUAGAGGCAGUAGAUCCAUUAGCCAUUCAAGUUGUGAAUUGUGAUUAUGGACUGUGCUAAAAAAAGCACAUCAAGUUGAUGGUUCACGGGUCACAACUAUAAAUAACUCCUGCACG